GCGCGCAGGGGUGUGGCUGGGAAAGGCCGCGCUGUCCCGGGACGGUGGCGCCAGCCCCGCCGCUCAGUUCUCCGGGUUUUUAAUUUGGAAUUGUGUUUUUCUAAUGGGCGGUUGCGUCGGAAACACGGUUUUCAGAGGGCCCAGAUGAAUCCCAGCGUUUUUGCUGCGGGUGUUUUUGUGGGAAAUAAAGGGAACAAAGAAUUUUAUAAAUUAAUUUAGGUUACCGAGAACAUCAUGGCCUCGACCAAAACUAUUUUAAUUCUCCAAAUAUGAGACUUUUGGACAAGAUGGUCAGUAUUUUUUUUUCCGGCACUACGUAAAAUCUAGGUUGUAUGUGGCUUUUGUUCUGCCCCACUCAACAUAGGAACCCAUUUCUCAUUACCCUCGUUCUUUUUAAAAAAGACAGUAAGUUGUGCAGUUCUAAGCCUUUACCACCUGAGACAUGAUUUUUGGCGGGCUAGAGCAGUGGUUCUUUAGCAUGCAUCAGAAUCACCUGGAAAAGUUGUUCAAAGCUAGAUUUGUGUGCCCCAUCCCCAAGGUUCCCUCACUGCUUCUAAGAUGAUGCUUGAGAAUGGGCAUUUCUAACAACUCCUAGGUGAUGCUGAAGAUGCCAGUCCGAGACCACACUCCUGAACUGAGAAGGAACCCCCCUGUAUCCUCCUGCAGCUGGAACCCUUUGCUUUUCUGCCUGCCUAGGACCCUGUGGCCCUUACACUUCUUAAUAUUCAGACUUCCUUUCUAGUCCAAAAGUGAAUGGUGCUCAUUUAAGGAUACAUGCCUGCCUGCUUGCUCCAGCCUCUCCUGCAUUUCGUCCUCCACUCUGCCACCAGAGUUAGGUCCAAACAUAAGACUGGUCUUGUUACAUUCUUGCUUAAAAUUUGCUGUGGCUUCCUCCAUAACCCUCAGCAGGUCAGUCUGGCCCGUCUGCCUCUGGCCUCAGCCUACUUUUUCUGCCCUAUCUCCCAUAUCUUCCUAAGUGCCCACUGCCCCUCCCAGACGAAACUUCUCAUUCCAGAACACCUCUUACUAGUUCUAACUACCUUGAUCAUGGGCCUGCUUAUUUUUUCAGCCUGGGAUGUUCCUAUCACCCUUCGCAUCUGAAGACUUCUCUUACCACUUCCCAAGGAUCAAUAGUAGUUCCUUCUUUUUUUUUUUUUCGUGCCCCGUACCCCUUACAACUCCUUCACCCCCCUAGUUCCUUCUAUAAUCCCAGAGUUCAUCACUUCUCAAAUCUUUUUUUUUUUUUUUUGAGACUGAGUUUCACUCUUGUUGCCCAGACUGUAGUGCAAUGGUGCGAUCUCGGGUCACUGCAACCUCCGCCUCUCGGGUUCAAGCGAUUCUCCUGCCUCAACCUCCCGAGUAGCUGGGAUUACAGGCAUGCGCCACCACACCCGGCUAAUUUUGUAUUUUUAGUAGAGAUAAGGUUUCUCCGUGUUGGUCAGGCUGGUCUUGAACUCCCGACCUCAGGUGAUCUGGCCACCUUGGCCUCCCAAAGUGCUGAGAUUACAGGCCUUAGACACCGAGCGCCCGGCCACCUCUCAAAUCUUAAUAAAGAUCCAAAUCACCUGAGAUCCUUGUUAAACUGCAGAUUCCGGGGUUGAGGGGUGGAGUCUUAGAUGGCCCCAGGAGAUGCAGAUGCUAUACUUUGAGUUAGGAGGUUUCAUGGUUUUUUCCCUACAAUUACUGUAGCUCUGUAAUUAUUUAUGUGCAUUUUCCAUUACUACCAGAUAGCUGGGAGUUCCUUGAGGUCAUGGGGUAUUUAAGAUGCGUAUGUAUGAACUGGCAUAGCCCCUGAUACAUAGUAGGUGUUUAAUAAGUAUUGAAUAAGUGAACCAGUAUCUGAAGAUGUUUUACAAUUUAUCAAACUUAUAUAUCAGUUUAUCAUAACUUAAGAUGAGCCCCCAUUUUUUUUAGGUCCCACUGAACUUCAGCCUCUGCAUUUAACACCCAGCUUUUCUAGACAUUGACAUUCCUCCUCUCCACACGGAGGGAAAGAGUUUUCAUACAAUGCUAUAGACUAAUAAAGAUUUAUGCCCUCCGGAAGCUGAAAGGUAAUCCCCAAUGUGAUGGUAUUUGAAGUUGGGGCCUUUGGACAGCGAUUAGGCCAUGAGAGCAGAGCCCCCUUUAAUAGGAUUAGUGCCCUUAUAAAAGAGGUCCUAGGCCGGGCACCGUGGCUCACACCUGUAAUCCCAGCACUUUAGGGGGCUGAGGCAGGUGGAUCACGAGGUCAGGAGUUCAAGACCAGGCUGGCCAAGAUGGUGAAACCCCGUCUCUACUAAAAAUACAAAAAUCAGCCAGGCGUGGUGGCAGGCACCUGUAAUCUCAGCUAUUCAGGAGGCUGAGGCAGGGAAUUGCUUGAACCCAGGAGGCAGGGGCUGCAGUGAGCUGAGAUCGUGCCACUGCACUCCAUCCUGGGCAACAGAGCGAGACUGUGUCUCAAAAAAAAAGAGGUCCUAGACUACUGCUUGCCACUUCCACCAUUGUGAGAACACAGCAAAAAGGUUCAUCUAUGAACCAGGAAGUGGGCUCUCACCAGACACUGAAUCUGCUGGUGACUUGAUCUUGGACUUCACAGCCUCCAGAACUAUGAGAAGUAAAUUGCUGUUGUUUGUAAGCCACCCAGUUUAUGGUAUUCUGCUAUAGCAGCCUGAACAGACUAAGACACAUAAGGUCUCUCCUUAAAUAUGAGAUUGGUAUAUUUCAAUUUCGUUUAGAAAACAUUUUGCAUACUUAAUCUGUGAACAUAUAGGCACUUGAAUUUAAAACCAUUAAUAUAAGCGGCAGGGAAGAAGAAAUGAUACAUUAACGAGGAGCCUGAAGAGAGAUGUGUAUUAAUAGAUAGGCUGGGGAAAG
RNAcentral lists this long non-coding RNA (2853 nucleotides) under Homo sapiens (human). Its description in RNAcentral is "HSALNT0264837". Lineage: Eukaryota; Metazoa; Chordata; Mammalia; Primates; Hominidae. The record is from RNAcentral.